Molecule: microRNA precursor, 279 nt
Filed under: Medicago truncatula (barrel medic)
Lineage: Eukaryota; Viridiplantae; Streptophyta; Magnoliopsida; Fabales; Fabaceae
Description: MIR2655 microRNA precursor family
Rfam family: MIR2655 microRNA precursor family
Source: Rfam by way of RNAcentral
CCCUUAACUAUUAAAAGUUUCGUUUUGGUCCCUUAACUUAUUUUUAGGUUUUGUUUUGGUCCCUUAACUCUUCCUUCGUCAACCACUUUGGUCCUUUAUGCUAGGAUGAAUGUAUUAGAGUUAAGGGACCAAAACGAAACCAAAAAAUAAUUUAAGGGACCAAAACGAAACCAAAAAAUAAGUUAAGGGAUCAAAACAAAACUUUUAAUAGUUAAGGGACCAAAACGAAACCAAAAAAUAAGUUAAGGGACCAAAACGAAACUUUUAAUAGUUAAGGGA